GAAAAGGGUGGUUGCGUGACGUCGUUCAAUUGGUACAAGACAUGUCAUACGAGAAAGAAACCUUGAGGGUCAACAUCUACGUUACUGAGAAAGCAAAAAGAACAACGGAAAAAUAUAAAGAGUUACUGGAGGAGAAAUAUGAAUCAGAAAAGUCGAAUCAGCCCCUUAUUGGUGAUUAUGAUUUAUGGGUACAAGCAUGUGGAGGUCUCAAAAGAGGAAGUUUGGUAGGAUUUGCGAUGCCAGAGGACCCGUAAUUGGUUGUAUCUUGUACACCUUCCACGCCUAGUACUGCCUCGUCCUGUCACUCGAGUUUGACAUCUAUAGCAGAGGUUGAAAAAAUCAAAACUCAGCUAGAGGAAAGGGACAAAAUAGCAGAGCAGCGAGAGAAAGUCACGGAGGAGUGGGAGAAAGCCACAGCUGAGAGAGAAGAAAAUGAUUGCUAACUUGGACUUGAUAGAAGAGGAGGUUGCAAAACAACCGGUUCUUGGGGAAGAAAUGGAAGCUAAGGUGGCAAAGCUUAAUAAGAUGUUGCAUGGUCAACGACAACUUCCACCUCCUACCUAGUAAUUUGUUCUUGUUGAUGGAUAAAACUUGGUAUGUCGGAUAUUUUGUAUACUUUUGUUCCACAUCCCGACUAGUAAUUAAUGAUGUAGGCUAGCAUUAAUGUAGUUCGUGGUUGUUACAUAUUUUAGA
Erigeron canadensis is the source of this 693-nucleotide long non-coding RNA. RefSeq lists it as uncharacterized. The record is from RefSeq and is a predicted model, not a curated record. NCBI's taxonomy places the organism in Eukaryota, Viridiplantae, Streptophyta, Magnoliopsida, Asterales, Asteraceae. The transcript has 3 exons.